Molecule: non-coding RNA, 291 nt
Organism: Cyanistes caeruleus (blue tit)
Lineage: Eukaryota; Metazoa; Chordata; Aves; Passeriformes; Paridae
Source: RefSeq, a predicted model, not a curated record
AGUGUUAAAUAAUGCACGUUCUCCUCUUUUAGCCAAGAGUGGAAACGAAACCCGAAGCUCAGUCUCAACCUCCUCGCGUUCGUGAGCAGCGUCCCAGGGAAAGACCGGGUUUCCCACCACGAGGACCUCGGCCAGGAAGGGGAGACAUGGAGCAGAACGAGUCGGAUAAUCGUCGGAUAAUUCGUUACCCAGACAGCCACCAGCUCUUUGUUGGGAACUUGCCACACGAUAUUGAUGAGAGUGAACUGAAAGAGUUCUUCAUGAGCUUUGGAAAUGUGGUAGAACUUCGCA